This 429-nucleotide ribosomal RNA is filed under the name Gemmatimonadota bacterium. Its description in RNAcentral is "Gemmatimonadetes bacterium partial 16S ribosomal RNA". It matches the Rfam family "Bacterial small subunit ribosomal RNA", at positions 355 to 776 of the family's 1533-position model. Lineage: Bacteria; Pseudomonadati; Gemmatimonadota. The record is from RNAcentral.
UAGGGAAUCUUCGGCAAUGGACGAAAGUCUGACCGAGCAACGCCGCGUGAGUGAAGAAGGUUUUCGGAUCGUAAAACUCUGUUGUUAGAGAAGAACAAGGACGUUAGUAACUGAACGUCCCCUGACGGUAUCUAACCAGAAAGCCACGGCUAACUACGUGCCAGCAGCCGCGGUAAUACGUAGGUGGCAAGCGUUGUCCGCAUUUAUUGGGCGUAAAGCGAGCGCAGGCGGUUUCUUAAGUCUGAUGUGAAAGCCCCCGGCUCAACCGGGGAGGGUCAUUGGAAACUGGGGGACUUGAGUGCAGAAGAGGAGAGUGGAAUUCCAUGUGUAGCGGUGAAAUGCGUAGAUAUAUGGAGGAACACCAGUGGCGAAGGCGGCUCUCUGGUCUGUAACUGACGCUGAGGCUCGAAAGCGUGGGGAGCAAACAGG